CCUCUUUGAUAGACGAUCAUCAAAGCUGACUGACCACUCCUAUCACACUUAUUACAGUCUACUCCUCUGUCUAAAAAUAUAUUCACUAUUUGUGUAGGACCACAUUUACAAGCCUCCAUUAAAUAUGAUCUGUCAUAUUAAUCACAUUUACUAUAGUCUGCUCCUCUGUCUAACAACAUCUUCGAUAUUUAUGUAUGACCAUGUUUACAAGCCUUCAUUACAGGAGACUAACCAUCAUUAUCACAUUUAUAACAAUCUGCUAAUCUAUCUAACACCAUCUUUACUAUUUCUGUAUAACCAUGUUCACAAGCCUUCAUUGCAGGUGACUGACCCAUCCUAUUACAUUUAUAAUAGUGUUAUCCUCUGUCUAACAACCUCUUUACCAUUUCUUUAUGACCAUGUUCACAAGCCAUCAUUACAGGUGAUUCAUCCCAACUGUCACAUUUAUGAAAGUCUACUCCUUUGUCUAACAACAUCUUUACUAUUUCUGUAUGACCAUGUUCACAAGCCAUCAUUACAGAUGAUUCAUCCCAAUUGUUACAUACCUAUUGUGAUUUUUAUUACAGUCUGCUUCUCUGUCUAACAAACAUCUCUACUAUUUCUGUAUGCCAUGUUCUCAAGCCUUAUUUCCAGGUGACUGAUCAAACAUGUUAUAUU
This 657-nucleotide long non-coding RNA is filed under the name Mytilus galloprovincialis (Mediterranean mussel). The record is from RNAcentral. Lineage: Eukaryota; Metazoa; Mollusca; Bivalvia; Mytilida; Mytilidae.